This is a long non-coding RNA of Alligator sinensis (Chinese alligator), 828 nucleotides long. RefSeq lists it as uncharacterized. The transcript has 2 exons. NCBI's taxonomy places the organism in Eukaryota, Metazoa, Chordata, Crocodylia, Alligatoridae. The record is from RefSeq and is a predicted model, not a curated record.
UAUAAAAGCAGUCGCUACUCAGGGCUCCUCUAUCCACAACUCCUCACCUCUCCACUCCAGUGAACCGAGCCAACCUCCACUGCAGGAACAUGUCUUCCUACGGACAGCUGAUCAGCUCCCGCUGCUACAACCCCUGUGAGGUGACCUGUCCGCGGCCAUAUGCCAAUGCCUGGAACGAGCCCUGCGUGACGUCCUGCGGUGACUCCAGGGCCGUGGUCUACCCACCCCCGGUGGCCAUCACCUUCCCCGGACCCAUCCUCGCCUCCUGCCCCCAGGAGAGCUACGUGGGCACCUCAGAACCCCAGUGCAUUGGCGGCCCAUACACUGCCGGCGGCUACCUGGGGUACAGAGGCUCAGUGGGCACUGGGUACUCAUACCCCUCUUAUUCCAGCCAGCUCAACAGAUACCGCUACGGAGGCUGCGGGCCAUGCUAAAGCAGCAGGAAUAUGUGUGACAGAAAGGAAUAGCCAAGAAAUGGGGAACAAGAUUCAGAUUCAGGAAUGAGCAGAGGGACAUUGUUUCCAGAGGCACAAAACACCCACUGCUUCUCUAUGCUGCGGGUGCCGAGGGCGCUCAGGAGCUCUGAAAAUCUUUCCAGUGCAUGAAGAUCUCUUUUCUGUAAUACUCCCUCUCUUUACUAAUGAUAGCACUAUGCCCUUAUUCAGGUAGCAGAGCAGGUAUGCAAUCGUUCGCUACCCACUUUAUGACUAAAGUGGCGUAGAAGGAAGUUAGCAUCCACCACAAUGUGACUGUUUAUGCCAAGUUGUACCACCUGCUUAUGGCCUUCAGCUUUUAACAAAAUCCAUUUCAGCAUGUAAAAUGUAGAAU